UGCCUUGUAAUUGGAAUGAUGGUGACCAGAGUAACAAUUGGAGGGCAAGUCUGGUGCCAGCAGCCGCGGUAAUUCCAGCUCCAAUAGCGUAUAUUAAACUUGUUGCAGUUAAAAAGCUCGUAGUUGAAUUUUUGCGUCACCGUGUAUCGACAUUUGUCGUUUAUCGGUUUCGCUUUUGGGAUUUAUCCCUUUUUACUUUGAGAAAAUUAGAGUGUUUCAAGCAGACUUUUGUCUUGAAUACUUCAGCAUGGAAUAAUAGAGUAGGACUUUGGUUCUAUUUUGUUGGUUUGUGAACCUUAGUAAUGGUUAAUAGGAACGGUUGGGGGCAUUCGUAUUUAACUGUCAGAGGUGAAAUUCUUAGAUUUGUUAAAGACGAACUACUGCGAAAGCAUUUGCCAAGGACGUUUUCAUUAAUCAAGAACGAAAGUUAGGGGAUCGAAGACGAUCAGAUACCGUCGUAGUCCUAACCAUAAACUAUGCCGACUAGGGAUUGGAGGUCGUCAUUUUUCCGACUCCUUCAGCACCUU
This 527-nucleotide ribosomal RNA is filed under the name Babesia sp. RNAcentral's name for it is "SSU rRNA". It matches the Rfam family "Eukaryotic small subunit ribosomal RNA", at positions 499 to 1089 of the family's 1831-position model. Lineage: Eukaryota; Apicomplexa; Aconoidasida; Piroplasmida; Babesiidae. The record is from RNAcentral.